GUAGGUUUUGGCUCCAAUGCACCUUCUCAGUUCACAUCUACUACUUCACCCUAUUUUAUUUUCAUCCUUGCCCUUGUCGCUACCUUUAAAACUCUCUGAAUCUCCGAGACUCUGGCUGCCCAGCUCCUCCAUAAUAACCAGGCAUGGAUGAGACAGAGAUUUUACAACCCUCACUGGAAUAUCCUGCUGCCUGAAAAAGCACCACGGACCUGGAGUCUUGAAACCAGAGGCAGCCCGAAUCCAGCCACUGUCCCUGCUCCUCAGCAGGGUUGAUUAAUUCAGGGCCACCGUCCAGCCUCUUCCCUCAGGUCUUGCUGGAUCCUCCUAACCCUGUCGUCUUCCCAGGCCCAGGUGGCAUUGGCUGCCAGCUGUCGCCACCCCAAGGUGCCUCGCCACCAUUCCUUCACCAGGAUUUGCCUGAUGGUCCAGUGGAUAGGAAUCUGCUUGCCAACACGAGGGACAUGGGUUUGAUCUCUGGUCAGAGAAGAUUCCACAUGCCUCAGGACAACUAAGCCCAUGGGCCACAGAACUAUUGAGCCCACGUGCCCCAGAGCCCAAGUUCGACAAGAGAAGCCACAGCAAUGAUAAGCCUGUAUGACACUCCUACAGAGGAGCUGGCCUCAGCAAUGAAGACCCAUCACAGCCAAAAAUAAAUAGGAAAAUAAAGUUGUUUAAAAAAAAAAAGCUUCCACUCCCAUGACCAUUGUCUGAGGUUCAACAGCAGGAGUUUAUCAAAGAAGGGGAACAUCCAGCUAAGACUAGUACCUCAGAAGGUUUAACAGAAGGUUAGAAACACACCUAUUUUAAGGUUUGCAGCCUAAAUGUCACAUAGGAAUAAAAAGGAACCCCAGUGAAGGACUCCUCACAUAGAAUUCCAUCACAAAUUAAUCACAGGUUAUCAUAAGUUGAGGGAAAUGGCAGUAUAGCAGAAAAAAUUUAUUUUAAUUUAUACCUCUAAUUAAGCAACAUUUGAAACUUUUCUGUUUAGUUGAAAGUCUGUUUAUCUACUGCUGAAUAAUAAAAUACCCCCAAACAUAUAUACAUAUGUGUGUGUGUAUAAUUCACAUACCAUUAAAUUCCCCCUAAGGCAUACAAUUCAGUGGUUUUUUCAGUAUAUUCACAAAUUGGUCAGACUAUCACCGCUAACUCCAGAACAUAUAGUGUCAAGUGUAAACUGUUAGUCGCUCAGCAGUGUCCAGCUCUUUGCAACUCCAUGACUGUAGCCUCCCAAGCUC
Bos taurus (domestic cattle) is the source of this 1235-nucleotide long non-coding RNA. The record is from Ensembl. NCBI's taxonomy places the organism in Eukaryota, Metazoa, Chordata, Mammalia, Artiodactyla, Bovidae.